UUCAUUUUGAACAUGUCACCAGGGACUUUGGAAUGUGUAUCCAUAACUCCCUGAUUUUCAACCACAUUCCAGCCUGCCUGACUCAUGAAGCGUGGAGCGACCCAGGAACAUCCCAGCUCCUCAUGUCCCACAUUCUUCAGGCUUUCUCUUAGUUUUGGCAUGUGCAUGUAAAUGUCAACAGGCAUGGUGGCUCACACGUGUAAUCCUAGCACUUUGGGAGGCUGAGGCAGGUGGAUCACCUGAGGUCAGGAGUUCAAGACUAGCCUGGUCAACAUGGCGAAACCCGUCUCUACUAAAAAUACGAAAUUAGCCAGGCGUGGUGGCGGGCGCCAGUAAUCCCAGCUACUCAGGAGGCUGAAGCAGGAGAAUCGCUUGAACCUCAGAGGCAGAGCUUGCAGUGAGCCGAGAUCACACCACUACACUCCAGCCUGGAUGACAGAGUGAGACUCCGUCUCAAAAAAAAAAAUAAAUAAAUAAAUAAAAAUAAAAUGUCUUGUUCUCUUUUUUCCUCCAGUGCCCAGAUCAG
This 526-nucleotide long non-coding RNA is filed under the name Pongo abelii (Sumatran orangutan). RNAcentral's name for it is "lincRNA". The record is from RNAcentral. Lineage: Eukaryota; Metazoa; Chordata; Mammalia; Primates; Hominidae.